Molecule: ribosomal RNA, 491 nt
Filed under: uncultured Entrophospora
Lineage: Eukaryota; Fungi; Glomeromycota; Glomeromycetes; Entrophosporales; Entrophosporaceae
Description: SSU rRNA
Rfam family: Eukaryotic small subunit ribosomal RNA
Source: RNAcentral
AGCAGCCGCGGUAAUUCCAGCUCCAAUAGCGUAUAUUAAAGUUGUUGCAGUUAAAAAGCUCGUAGUUGAAUUUCGGGAUUGGCGCAUCGGUCGUGCCUUACGGGGUAUGAACUGGUGCAGUCAAUUUCUCACCUUCUGGAGAACCGCGAUGUCCUUAAUUGGGUGCCGCGGGGAACCAGGACCUUUACUUUGAAAAAAUUAGAGUGUUUAAAGCAGGCAUUUUUGCUUGAAUACAUUAGCAUGGAAUAAUAAAAUAGGACGGCAUGGUUCUAUUUUGUUGGUUUCUAGGACCACCGUAAUGAUUAAUAGGGAUAGUUGGGGGCAUUAGUAUUCAAUUGUCAGAGGUGGAAUUCUUGGAUUUAUUGAAGACUAACUACUGCGAAAGCAUUUGCCAAGGAUGUUUUCAUUAAUCAAGAACGAAAGUUAGGGGAUCGAAGACGAUCAGAUACCGUCGUAGUCUUAACCAUAAACUAUAGCCGACUAGGGAUCGG